UACAUGGAUAACUCUGUCAACCCAGAGCUAAUACAUGCAGCGGGGCGCAUCUAUUAUACCAAAACCAACUUUGGUGACUCUGAGUAGACGCAGUCUUAGCACUGGCCAUAUUCCCUUCGAGUGUCUGCCUUAUCAACUUUCGAUGGUAGUUUAUGUGCCUACCAUGGUUAUAACGGGUAACGGAGAAUAAGGGUUCGACUCCGGAGAGGGAGCCUGAGAAACGGCUACCACAUCCAAGGAAGGCAGCAGGCGCGCAAAUUACCCACUCUCAGAGAGGAGGUAGUGACGAAAAAUAACGAGGCGAUUCUCUCUGUCAUCGGAAUGGGUACAAUCUAAACCCUUUAACGAGGAUCUAUUGGAGGGCAAGUCUGGUGCCAGCAGCCGCGGUAAUUCCAGCUCCAUUGGUGUAUACCAAUGCUGUUGUGGUUAAAACGCUCGUAGUUGGAUUGUAUGGGCGCCAGUGACCCCCUGGGUUCGCAGCCGGUUUUCCGUACAUGUGCUUCACUGCGUGUGUGCGGUGACUGGCAGGUUUACUUUGAAAAAAUUAGAGCGCUUAAAACAGGCGAUUCCCUGAAUACUGUUGCAUGGAAUAAUGGAAUAGGAGGUUCUAUUUUGUUGGUUUCCGAACCACUGUAAUGAUUAAGAGGGACAGACGGGGGCAUUCGUAUUGCGGCGUUAGAGGUGAAAUUCUUGGA
This 695-nucleotide ribosomal RNA is filed under the name Campylaimus gerlachi. RNAcentral describes it as "SSU rRNA". It matches the Rfam family "Eukaryotic small subunit ribosomal RNA", at positions 136 to 924 of the family's 1831-position model. The record is from RNAcentral. Lineage: Eukaryota; Metazoa; Nematoda; Chromadorea; Araeolaimida; Diplopeltidae.